GGGGAUGUAGCUCAGAGGUAGAGUACUUGCCUAGUGCAAGGAUCUGGGUUCAAUACCCAGUACCAACA
Molecule: transfer RNA, 68 nt
Filed under: Marmota monax (woodchuck)
Lineage: Eukaryota; Metazoa; Chordata; Mammalia; Rodentia; Sciuridae
Also listed under: 2 other names
Rfam family: tRNA
About the family: Transfer RNA (tRNA) molecules are approximately 80 nucleotides in length. Their secondary structure includes four short double-helical elements and three loops (D, anti-codon, and T loops).
Source: Rfam by way of RNAcentral